This 71-nucleotide transfer RNA is filed under the name Neoconidiobolus thromboides. RNAcentral describes it as "Conidiobolus thromboides tRNA-Asp". It matches the Rfam family "tRNA". Rfam says of the family: Transfer RNA (tRNA) molecules are approximately 80 nucleotides in length. Their secondary structure includes four short double-helical elements and three loops (D, anti-codon, and T loops). The record is from RNAcentral. Lineage: Eukaryota; Fungi; Entomophthoromycota; Entomophthoromycetes; Entomophthorales; Neoconidiobolaceae. RNAcentral also lists the same sequence under 2 other names.
GCUAUCAUCGCUUAAUGGUAAAGCAUAUCACUGUUAAUGAUUUGAUCUAGGUUCAAUUCCUAGUGAUGGCU